Molecule: ribosomal RNA, 433 nt
Filed under: uncultured bacterium
Lineage: Bacteria
Description: partial 16S ribosomal RNA
Rfam family: Bacterial small subunit ribosomal RNA
Source: RNAcentral
AACGAACGCUGGCGGCAUGCCUAACACAUGCAAGUCGAACGAGACCUUCGGGUCUAGUGGCGCACGGGUGCGUAACGCGUGGGAACCUGCCCUUAGGUUCGGAAUAACUCCCCGAAAGGGGUGCUAAUACCGGAUAAUGUCUUCGGACCAAAGAUUUAUCGCCUUUGGAUGGGCCCGCGUUGGAUUAGCUAGUUGGUAGGGUAAAAGCCUACCAAGGCGACGAUCCAUAGCUGGUCUGAGAGGAUGAUCAGCCACACUGGGACUGAGACACGGCCCAGACUCCUAUGGGAGGCAGCAGUGGGGAAUAUUGGACAAUGGGCGAAAGCCUGAUCCAGCAAUGCCGCGUGAGUGAUGAAGGCCUUAGGGUUGUAAAGCUCUUUUACCCGGGAUGAUAAUGACAGUACCGGGAGAAUAAGCUCCGGCUAACUCCAUG